GUUGUGUAAAAGGGGCUGAAGUCCUGCGCUGCGUCCUCCACUGCUGCUGCUGCUCAGAAAAGUAGGUUCCCUACCGAAGCCGUAACACGGUUUAAGGUGUUAUAACCUUAAAAACCCGACAUCCACGUUUUCCACGACACGCCCUGGUGAGGGUCCGGGUCUCCGCCGGAGCAGCGGUCGGGCAGCCUGAACUCCGCUGGACCGUCCAGACGGGUUGGCCGAGCUGGAGCGACCCGGCCGGUGGUCAAGGAAUAUGUGAACCUAAAGCAGACGAAGGAAGGAGGAGUCGUCGUUAAAGCCGGCUGUCAUUCACUCCGGCCUGGUUCGAACUCUCCCGCUCUCCGGCUGACACACUCGGCCCCAAAUGGCUGACACACAGCAGUUCUUCACUGGCAAGCUUUAUGUUCCCGUACACAUGCUAAAGCUGCCAGCUGAAGAACUGCUCUGGUCAGCUCUGCCCCGGAUGACUCGAGAAGAGGAAGCGGAUCGAGGUUGCUGAGAAGAAGACUGAAGAAGAAGUGUUUCUCACGCUCAGUCAGACCGGCCAGUGUUUAUAAUCCGGUUUUAAACAAAUGUAAGGUGUAUUUUAUUUUAGGAAAUAGAGCAUGUUUAUUCUGUGGUCUUUUUCCUCACAAAAACCUGCUCACAUGUUGUCAUGUUUUGGUUUCUCACAGUGAAGAACACAUUAUUUCCUCAGACCAUUUCGUUUGUGUUUUUUUUGGUGGAAAAAACUGCACACUAUGAACAAUACACAACACACACACAAAGAAGCACACGAUAGAUUUAUGCAAAAAAUGUGUCACACGCAUCACUUUUAACUUUAAAGUCUCUGAUGAUCCAAUUGAAGGACAGUGGGAAAGAUCAGAGUAAAUUGAGAUGUUUAAAUAUAAAUGUCCUCAGAUAUGCAAUAACUUCUGAGUGUGGUGUUUGUUCUCACAUUAACAAGUCAGCAAGUUGACAUCGAGUCAGGACUGAAUGAAUCCAUGUUGAUUGUUGAAGUGAAACCAGAGGGUGAACACUUUUCUUCAAGGGGUUAUUAAUAUAGUAUCACCGGCUGCUUCAAUGGAUUCCUUCACAAACUACCAACUUUCCUCAACUCAUUGGAUGUGAAAACUGCAAUGCUUCUUCUUUAUUUAUUUGCCAUCAGCAUCAGGUUAAUUGAUUAAUUAUAUUACUGUCAUCUGGAUUGGUUGAAUAAAGGAAGCAUUUUGUGUCAAA
Molecule: long non-coding RNA, 1218 nt
Organism: Cyclopterus lumpus (lumpfish)
Lineage: Eukaryota; Metazoa; Chordata; Actinopteri; Perciformes; Cyclopteridae
Exons: 2
Source: RefSeq, a predicted model, not a curated record